Molecule: long non-coding RNA, 1897 nt
Organism: Conger conger (European conger)
Lineage: Eukaryota; Metazoa; Chordata; Actinopteri; Anguilliformes; Congridae
Exons: 3
Source: RefSeq, a predicted model, not a curated record
AGCAAUCUGGUCCAUUUUACAUUGAGCUUCACUUGAAAGUCACCACCUGCACAAAAACAGAAAAGACCACACAUCGAGAUGACUGCCCAUUUAUGGACCGAAGGCCAAAAAUCAACUGUGCUGUUUGCAAUAAAGGGAUUGAGUCCGGCCUCGACAUUCACUGCGUUACGCAACUGCAAGUAAAUCAGUUCAUGGAAGAGCGGAGGAAAGUGUGCCCAAUUUACGUCUUAGGGGGAGGCAGUGUAAACUCACUGAAGAAACUGGAAAAACCACCUGCUGAGUGUCUUGGGUGCUUCUGAAUGUCCCGGCGAGUUUGGGCUGUCCGAUCCCCAAAUUCAGUGCAAUGAAGGCUCUGUGACAGUUUCAUGUCUGAAAUACUGUGCUGUAUUCUAUUCCCUCCUUUGGCAGAAUGUACUCAAAUUGCUUUAUUUGUAUAGCACCUUUCAUACAGAAUGCUGCUGAAAGUGCUUAGCAGGACUAAUGAAACCAAGGAAGACAUAAAAUAACACAAUGAUAAUAGUCGAAUAUACAAAUUAAAAUAAUAAAACUAAAUUAAAAGGGAAUCAAAUAAAAUCUUUUCAAAAUACCUGCUUGCAUGCAGUGAUUACACAUCUAUUCCAUGUAGAAACUCUGUUUCACAGAUACUCUGUGCAAUAUGUGAUGCCCACUAAAAUGUGAUCACAUUAGUGAUGUUAUUUUUGCGAGCUUAUAAUUUUAUUUUACAGGUAAAAUCUGUCUAUUUGUUUCACGAUAAUGAUUUUACCUAAAUUGCCUGUAAUAGGAAUUGCACGACACCAGAUGACAUGGUUGAGUCUCGGUAUUGGACUUGGCGAGGGCUCGCCAUAACUUUGAGAGACUUCGUGAAUACAGGUCAUGUCUAACUGACUCUUCAUUUUUGUGACUGUUUUCCAGGUUAGUAAAGUGUCACAAGCACCAUGUAUUGUGUAAUUCAGUUUUAUAAAAUCAGUAUAGAGUUUGAUUUACGUUUGUCAGAUUGGUGAAUGUCCAGUUUGUCUAGUUUGGUGUAAAUUAGCUAAUGUAGGCUAACUAAGAUGCGAGAAGUUAGCUAACGUUAGCCAGUAAUGUUAUGAAUGCUCCGAACGCUAGCUAACUAUAUAACUUAUUUGAAUUAAUUUUACCGUUACUAAGCAAAGUUAACGUUAGCCCUACGUUCGUUUCCUGUGAAAUUUGGAAAGUUAGCGAACAUUGCUUGUUUUCGGUAAUGUUAGCUACCAAGGGCAUAUGCUCAUAUUCGUUUGGAUAUCAAUUCAGUUACUGAUGUAAAGUUAGCCCAGAUUGGCACUGCCGCUAUUCUAGCUAACAUUAACGUACUCUGUUAUCCAAUUAACGUUAUGUGCCGGGAUUCAGCACUCGGUGCUGAUAGCUUUGUAUCCUGUCCUGUAAAUGGCUCCACGUAUCCCAUUCCUUUUAAUUUUAUAUUUUUGGCUGGCUCAAUAGUUUCACGUUUAAUGAAAUGGUUCAAUUGUUUAAACUGUACAAUAAUAUGCAAGUUAAUUAUUCAUCACUGUGAUGCAUGUCCGAGGAUACUGGGAAGUAUGUAAAGUGCAUUGAGGAUGCUGAUGCAGAAUAUAAACACAUGUUUAGGAAUGACCAUUUAUUUUGAGUGUCUAUAAACAAGAUAUAAAUGUCUAGUGAAUAGAGAUAUGGAAAGUGUAUGGGGAAGAUACUGUUUUUGAUAGUGACCAUUGUAUUUUGAGUGUUCUAUGAACAAGAUAUAAAUGUCAAAGAGACAGACAAUGGUUAUAUCUGUACAGCAGUACAAGUAACUAUUAAAGGGACAGUGCAGGCAGGGGUGCUCAUUUUAAUACUUGUGAUAAUUGUAAUAAUUGUGAUAAUUGUAAAUAAAGAUAACUUUGAGAGACUUCGUGAAAACAGG